Myotis brandtii (Brandt's bat) is the source of this 2175-nucleotide RNA transcript. It is a transcript of the gene named basic proline-rich protein-like, with no coding region annotated. The transcript is spliced from 11 exons. The record is from RefSeq and is a predicted model, not a curated record. NCBI's taxonomy places the organism in Eukaryota, Metazoa, Chordata, Mammalia, Chiroptera, Vespertilionidae.
AGGUCGUUCGGCUGUCUGGUCUAAUUAGCAUAUUACGCUUUUAUUAUUAUGGAUGUGCAUUGAGUACCAGCAGUGGGCAACCUUUGGGCAGACUCAACCUCGACCCUGGUGCAGCACCCAGCUUGAUUGAUGGAAAUGCAAUUUAUCAUUUGGCUUCCCUGGUGCUGUUUAUUAUUUUAAAAAAAAAGUUAUACUAGAUUCACUGAUGUCAUUCUUAAACUUUUGAUAUUAUGUGAGAGCAUUGGAGACUGGAGAAAGUUUGCCUACAUGCUAUAUAUUUUUGAGUUGUGUGCAGUACUUUGCAGAAAAUUCUAAAGUUGUUAUAUCAUGUCUUCUUGAUUAACAGUUAUGCUACGUAGAGAAAUAUUUCGUGCAGUCAUAAUAGUGCAAAAAAAAAAAGCGAGUCACUUGGGAAAUAGUCUCUUCAGGAGGCUACGCUGGGUACCUGAGGAUGAAGGGAGGCCCUCAGUGAGUAAGUUUCAGAAGAAAUGGGUGCAUGAGCCUCUACCCAAGGCCCCCCGGAUCUGCUGCGUUUGGCAGAGGACACGCCGUGGGGAAAGACGGCAGCUCGCUCUAAAGGCAAACACGCACCUGGUGCUAACAGCGCAGGCCGCAGGCUUCACAGCGCCCCAACAGCAACAGAGCAUGUACUGAAGCGUCACCCGCAGACGGGCCGCGUGCCCCAGAGCCCACGGAGGGAGCAGGCGGCAGCCGGGGCAGGCGUCCCUGCUCAUCAGCGCUGGUCCGCAGCAAGCUCUCCCCGCCCAGGCCUUUAGGAAGUCCUGUUCGUAGUUCCCAUGAGAGAGAUCACGGCCUUCUUCGUGGGCUUGCUGGAGUGUGACCAGCUCCCCGCUGGCUACGCGACCUUGGGCAAGUCACCUCCCUGUGGGCUCAGUGGCUCCGAAUCCGUGUCAUUGGGCGAUGCUAUGGACCGGAAGGGCCACUUUCCUCAGCGGCCUCCCUACACAGGUGCUAGAUAUACAUCAGGAAACAAAAGGGCUCCAGCCAGCCUUGCUCCCGCACGUCAGCUGCACGGACCAAGAAACCCAGAUAGAACAUCAGCAGUUCUCCGGGGCUCCCGUCUCAAACCAGAGCAAGAUGGUAAGAAAGUGCUGACCGAGAAAGGCCCACAGGCGGCCAAGGUCGGACGCCACACAGCCCAGGACACGGCGCCCCACCCCCCCAUCACGCCAAGCAUGGAGGCUGGGCCGAUAGGCAGGGCGGAGGCUGUGGGGACAGAGACCCCAGCCCAGAGGGUCCAGGAACUGCUCGAGGGGGACACCAGCGCCCACUGGGAGCAACAGAAGUGAGGAGGACGAGGCUGCAGAUCCUGGGUGCAGGGGGAGGAGGCCUGAAUUGAAUUAAGACACCGAGGCUGAGCCGAGGUGAAAGCCACGGCCAAGGUCACCGAGCUGAGAAGAGAUCCAAAGCUUGGCUCCAAACUCAGAUCUUCUGACUCGAAUCCAGCGCGGCCGGCCGAGGCAGGAAACCGGCAGGAUGGCCCCUCCGGGCCGGCUGCUAUGCGCUGGCCCGUCCUCAGAUAAGGAGCUCCCGGGAGAGGAAGGAUCUGGGACAAAGAAGAUCUGAGCGGAGCGGGAGGACAGGAAAUUCUGACGGCUGGGAUUUUCCCUGCCACCGGGAACCCAGCAGAGGGGCAAGAGGGGCCAGGGUUCCCGGAGACGCCCAGUCACGGUGCCAGGCUCCCCAGCGGGCCCCGGGUGGCCGGGAGCCGUCGGAGGUCUGUGCACGGGACAGUCCCAAGCCUUAAAAACAGGACACACACACUUCCUCUUGUUCCUCUGGGUGGAGCAUAAUGAAAUCUGGGAGCAGAAGAGGGGCCCCCCCGCCAGCGCCACGGCCCUGUCCACCGGCUUCCUUGCCGUCCCCUGAAGGGAUGCUCCCAGGAACCAAGUGAGGCGGCCUAGAAGAAAACAGACAGAUCCCUGCAAGCACGCCGUGGAUACUGGUGAAUAACCGCUGUGGCUCCCAGACGCUGGGGGCUGACUCUGUGCGGCCACGGGAAUGUCCUGCCUGAGCCUCGUGAGAGCCCUUGCAAGGCGGGUACUGUCACUUUCUCACUCUGCAGGUGAAGAGGCAGGCUGGGAGAGGUUAUACGGCUUUUCCAGGACCCUACAGCUAGUAGGUUGCACAUCCAGAAAUUUCUAUAUAUAUUUU